CCUCCUCGAUCUGCUGCGGGCAGAUGAAGUGGAUGUGGCUGUCGAAACCGCCGGCGGUGAGGAUCUUGCCCUCGCCCGCGAUCACCUCGGUGCCGGGCCCGACCACGAUGUCGACGCCCGGCUGCACGUCCGGGUUGCCGGCCUUGCCGAGCUUGGCGAUGCGGCCCCGCACGAUGCCGACAUCGCAUUUCACGAUGCCCCAAUGGUCGAGCACCACGGCGUUGGUGAUCACGGUGUCGACGGCGCCGUCCGCAUUGGUCGCCUGGGACUGGCCCAUGCCGUCGCGGAUG
RNAcentral lists this small RNA (290 nucleotides) under Methylobacterium dankookense. RNAcentral describes it as "5_ureB_sRNA". It matches the Rfam family "5' ureB small RNA". The record is from RNAcentral. Lineage: Bacteria; Pseudomonadati; Pseudomonadota; Alphaproteobacteria; Hyphomicrobiales; Methylobacteriaceae.